Molecule: ribosomal RNA, 381 nt
Filed under: uncultured cyanobacterium
Lineage: Bacteria; Bacillati; Cyanobacteriota
Description: bacterial SSU rRNA
Rfam family: Bacterial small subunit ribosomal RNA
Source: RNAcentral
CGAAAGCCUGACGGAGCAAUCUCGCGUGAGGGAUGACGGCCUAUGGGUUGUAAACCUCUUUUUUCAGGGAGGAAUAAAAUGACGUGUACCUGAAGAAUAAGCAUCGGCUAACUCCGUGCCAGCAGCCGCGGUAGGACGGAGGAUGCAAGUGUUAUCCGGAAUCACUGGGCGUAAAGCGUCUGUAGGUGGUUUACUAAGUCAACUGUUAAAUCUUGAAGCUCAACUUCAAAAUCGCAGUCGAAACUAGUAGACUAGAGUAUAGUAGGGGUAAAGGGAAUUUCCAGUGGAGCGGUGAAAUGCGUAGAGAUUGGAAAGAACACCGAUGGCGAAGGCACUUUACUGGGCUAUUACUGACACUCAGAGACGAAAGCUAGGGUAGCA